GCUGAGAGCAAGAUGGGUCACCAGCAGCUGUACUGGAGUCACCCGCGAAAAUUCGGCCAGGGUUCUCGCUCUUGUCGCGUCUGUUCAAACCGGCACGGUCUGAUCCGGAAAUAUGGCCUCAAUAUGUGCCGCCAGUGUUUCCGUCAGUACGCGAAGGAUAUCGGUUUCAUUAAGGUAGGCGUCUGCAGGCGUACUCCAUGUUGUUUGGGCAGAGAAGGUUGUGGGGGUUCUUUAUAUUUUCCGCGAAAGACAAACGGACAGAUCUUCCCUGGAGUGGUAAUUCUGAGCAUUCGACCAAGAGCUUUUCCUCUUUUUUUAGUUGGUAGCUGGUGACAGUGUUGAUGGUUUGGGCAAUCAAAUUAAUAGAAUGGAGAAGGUGAAGGACUCAGUCUUUCCUACUCCCUUUUUUACCUAGAUAGCUUAGCCAGUUUUAGGUGCCGUGUAUUGUGUUUGGUGAAAUUCACUUUAGAGAAGCCACUAAAAUUGUUUUACAUUUGUUUCAUUUAUCAAUCUUGUAAGUACCUAUUCUCUCUCUUUUUUUGUUUUUAGAGAUAGGGUCUCCCUCUGUCGCCCAGGUUGAAGUGCAGUGGCGUUGUUACGGCUCACUGCAGCCUCGAACUCCUCCUGGUCUCAGGCGAUCCUCUUGCCUUGGCGUCCCGAGUAGCUCGAACUAAAGGCUCUUGCCACCACGCGCGGCUGUACCUAGAUAUUUUCUAACCAAAUAUAUGUAUUAACCGCUGACCCCAAGUUUUUUUUUUUUUUUUUUUGAGUCGGAGUCGCACUCACCCAACCUGGAGUGCAAUGGCGUGAUCUCCGCUCAGUGCAACCUCCGC
Molecule: small RNA, 833 nt
Filed under: Pan troglodytes (chimpanzee)
Lineage: Eukaryota; Metazoa; Chordata; Mammalia; Primates; Hominidae
Description: retained intron
Source: RNAcentral